This is a long non-coding RNA of Wyeomyia smithii (pitcher-plant mosquito), 1621 nucleotides long. RefSeq lists it as uncharacterized. The transcript has 3 exons. NCBI's taxonomy places the organism in Eukaryota, Metazoa, Arthropoda, Insecta, Diptera, Culicidae. The record is from RefSeq and is a predicted model, not a curated record.
ACAUUGUAGGUUUUCACAAUAAUUAAUAUUAUAAAUUAAUAUAUUUUCGUUUUGCUUUUGAGCGAACUGAUAAAAAUUCGAUAAAAUCCGAAUAUUUCCGAAACAACAAGCAGAUAUCCGCCUCGGAACCUGCAAUAAGCAUUGAUUCAUUUUUCGCAUCGGAAAUCAGCAUAGCAAGUGUUCGUUGUAGUGAUUUAUUCCACGAAGGGGAGCAGCUCCACGCUGCAGAUUGCAAUCAACUUUAAAUGUGUCGUCACUACAAGAUGUGAGAGAAGUUGGCCAAGCUGAACCAUCCAAGCGUAGCGUCCCGAAGGUGUGUAUGGAGUAUUUCAGGACAUAUGACACCGCGUUCGAAAGGAUUGUUUUAUUGUUUUUUUUUUGAAUAGUUUGACCGCAUCUCAGCUUAGCAACUGCCACAGCAUUGGAGAUGGGACGGGGAGCUGCUUAACGUUGGUGUUUCUUAGUGAAAAAAUGUUCCGCUUCUCGCUCCCGACCAUGUCACAACUGAUGUCGUGUUAUUCAUUAGUCUUGCGGGAAGCGCUGCCGAAGCCUUUAGCGCAAGAACUGCCUAUCCGCUGGCACGAAAUCUGCGACUAGUGUUUACACUCAUCUUACCGAUUCCGAAGCUGUGUCUUGCUAGCAAUAAGAUUCAUCGAGGCGCAGAUCGAUAUCCAACAGCUGGAGGUGCUGCUAAUUAUAAAUCUAUGGCCUGCGUAACACAAUAGCGUCGUUGCCGGUCUGCGCAUUUGCUCCGAAACUUUAGGCAUUGGCACGACUUGAUUCAUCUAUAAUAGGCAAUAGAAAAGGUGCCACAAACCCAUAAAGCUGUUUAAGUGCAACUCUCUACUGCUGCUGAGUGCGAUAUUUCGCGGAACACACAAGUAGCCUUGUUCAUGGGAAUCGGUCUGGUCUAGUAUCAAGGUACCGCCGGACAGCACAUAGCAGGAGUGCUAUUGCAGGGAAUAAUGCGCCACCCGGAACCAGAAGUAGAACAUUCCAACGAACAUUAGCAUUUUGUGUAUUUGGUUGGCAAAGCAACUGAUAACGGAAAAAAAUUUAGCAGGCUGUGUAACCGAAAAGUCUGUAUGAUGUCGGAUGGAUAAUUGAAUGUCAGCAGCAGUUAUUAUAUACACGGGACUACUUCUUUGACGGGAGCGACCGCACCGCAAGCGAAAAAUAUAAUAAAACUUUGCCACGCCACGAUGUCCCGACCGAAGUCCGAGAUAAUUGCGUGCGUACCUACAUUAACAAACUGCAAAUGGGACAGCCAAGUUCAGUCAAUGUGAGUACCGCGGGCCAAGUGAUCGAAGGUUUUCUGUUUUCUUGGAUUAUCGGAAGCGAUCACAGCAAGCAUACUGCUUGUUUUUAACUGAAAUUCCAACCGAUAGCAGCGAUAACCUCUAUGAUCCGUCCCUUAAUGUGUUGGAAUUUGAGCCGCGAUGUCGAUAGUGGCAAAUUAUGGCUGCCAAUAUCUAUAACAAGGCGAACUUGUUGCCGGCGUAGGUGAAAGUCUAUUUGGACGAGGAAGACUGCCCAAGCUAGGUCAAGUUUAGCUGUACACGGCCUGAAAGCUCCCUAACUAGAAGUGCGCAGAGGAUUUCGGCAACAUUGGAAAAUAAUA